Oncorhynchus gorbuscha (pink salmon) is the source of this 1625-nucleotide RNA transcript. It is a transcript of the gene named persulfide dioxygenase ETHE1, mitochondrial-like, with no coding region annotated. Lineage: Eukaryota; Metazoa; Chordata; Actinopteri; Salmoniformes; Salmonidae. The transcript is spliced from 7 exons. The record is from RefSeq and is a predicted model, not a curated record.
CCUUGAAAGACAGGGUCCUGAAAAAGGGACGUUUCUUUCUUUUUUUCGUUGCUGAGUUUGUGUAUGUGUGCGCGCGUUGGAAGUGUUGACAUCUUGCACAUGUCCACUGCUCUUGUUUAAUGCUUGGAGGUUCGCGAGGAGUAGGCUCCCCAUAUCAGAUUUUUUGGACUUCCUGGCUACAUGCACAUUAAGUCAGUAUAGCUACAACAUUUGUGCCUAGCAUGCUAAUUUGGUUUUAGGCUAUAGCCAAAUAUACUGCAAAGGCAACGGACCGCUACAAAGGAUUGGGACACAAACUCGUUGGCUCAGUUCUGGGAUUUCUACCCUGCCCGUCGCAGUGUCAGUUAAAUCUCCUUGGAGAAAAAAUGUUUUCAAUUGUAAACCGACUGAAACCUGCUCUGGCCUACACGCUGCGCCUCCAAACAACCGGGCACUUGCGUAAAGUUCCAGCCCACAUGGGCCCGGGCUUACGCACCAGCAAGCAGCCUCUGGAAUCAGUCAUCAUACGACCUUACUGCGCCAGGAUGGAGUUGGGAAAAGGGCCUUUCUUCAGGCAGCUGUUUGAGUCGGUGAGCAGCACCUACACCUAUCUGCUGGCUGAUACAGAGAGCAGGGAGGCAGUCCUCAUUGAUCCCGUACUGGAGACAGUGGACAGGGAUCUGAAACUCAUAGAGGAACUGGGUUUCAACCUGAAAGUUGCAGUGAACACUCACUGCCAUGCAGACCACAUCACAGGCACGGGACAGCUGAAGAACAGGCUGUUUGGGAUGAAGAGUGCCAUCUCCAAGCACAGCGGGGCCAGUGCAGACAUCCUGCUAUCAGAGGGAGAUAAGAUCAGCUUUGGCAAACAUUGUCUGACGGUGAGGGAGACUCCAGGACACACAGACGGCUGUGUGACGUUGGUGACAGGGGACCAGAGCAUGGCUUUCACUGGGGACACAUUGCUAAUCAGGGGCUGUGGAAGGACAGACUUCCAGCAGGGCUGCUCUAGGAGGCUCUAUGAAUCAGUCCACCAGAAGAUCUUUACAUUACCUCCUCAGUGUCUCGUCUUCCCUGCACAUGACUACAAAGGUCUGCUAACCCUGUGCUGCAGGUCAGACGGCCUCCACCGUGGGCGAGGAGAGGAGGUUUAACCCCCGCCUGACCAAGAGCGUGGAGGAGUUUGUGGACAUCAUGACCAACCUGAACCUCCCCAAGCCUGCUAAGAUAGAAUUUGCGGUGCCUGCAAACCUGGUGUGUGGACUCCAUGAGGUUUGAAUGUCAAAAAGAUUUUUAGGAUUUCACUUUAAGCACUAUUGGGAGGAAGAGGGAAAUUCUUUUCACCCGGCCACAACUUAAUGUUUUAAAUGCAAUAUUUUGUUUCUAAGAAGUAACCAAAACUAAAGUUUGUCAACAAAUGUAAGAAUGUAUAUAUUUUAUUUCCAAUAUGAACAUAAAUUCCUCCUUGUUUGCCUAUGGGGAAAAAAGCAGUGUUCAUGAUUUGGUGGGUGUACAGAUACUGAAAUUGUAUAGUAGAAGAUGCAUUCAAAUACAUGAUCAUAAAACAUUCUAAUACAAUCUCCUGGAGAAAUGUAAACAGUAAAAUGACCUAGUUUUAUAUUAAAUCAACAUUGUUCAAAUGUAAA